UUGAAUUGGAUUGAAAAUAUGAUUUGCAAACUCAUUUAUGUUUGAGCAUGGACUACGGUGAAUAUGUGUUUGCUGUUAAUAAAUAUUUGAGGAAUUAUUCUGUAUAUGAGAAAUUGAGAUUUUCAGGUUUUAAAACCUAGCAGGCUAAGUGCCGGUGAUCUGAAUCAGGCUAUAAGCCUAGCAGGCUAAGUGCCGGUGAACUGAAUCAGGCUAUAAGCCUAGCAGGCUAAGUGCCGGUGAUCUGAAUCAGGCUAUAAGCCUAGCAGGCUAAGUGCCAGUGAUCUGAAUCAGGCUAUAAGCCUAGCAGGCUAAGUGCCGGUGAACUAAAUUAGGCUAUAAGCCUAGCAGGCUAAGUGCCGGUGAUCUGAAUCAGGCUUUAAGCCUAACAAGCUAAGUGCCAGUGAAUCUGUUUAAAUUAAGUGAUUAUUUGCAUUGGGUAUAUAUGUGAUUUUGGUUAUAUGUAAUGGAUAAAUAUAUGAACAUUUGUUUCUAAGUAUUUGAUGAGCAUAUAAACGUUCGAAUCUUU
This 526-nucleotide long non-coding RNA is filed under the name Gossypium raimondii (Peruvian cotton). RNAcentral's name for it is "long non-coding RNA (GRAI_LNC002633)". The record is from RNAcentral. Lineage: Eukaryota; Viridiplantae; Streptophyta; Magnoliopsida; Malvales; Malvaceae.